Molecule: long non-coding RNA, 709 nt
Filed under: Macaca mulatta (Rhesus monkey)
Lineage: Eukaryota; Metazoa; Chordata; Mammalia; Primates; Cercopithecidae
Description: lncRNA (ENSMMUG00000051072.1)
Source: RNAcentral
GUCCCGGCUGGCUUCUGAAUCCUGGGAGCAUUCUUUUUUAUAAAGGGAGUCAGACACCGUGAACUCUCGCCAGAAAAACUUCUGGCUAAAAAUGAUCCACAAAAGGAAAAUGAGUUGGUUUUUAACUGGAUGAAAACAAACACAAACUCACUUUACUUUUGGAUCCUUUUUGCUGCGUUACAAACCACCUCAAAGUGCUGAGAACCAGGUAGAAGAAUGGAGGAGGAAGGGUUCUCCUGGCAGAGAGAGCGGCAGGCUGGAGUGCAGUGGCGCGAUCUCGGCUCACUGCAACCUCCGCCUCCCAGGUUCAAGUGAUUCUCCUGCCUCAGCAUCUAGAGCAGCUGGGAUUACAGCCUAUAGGGAUAUAAUGAUACAGCAUUAAAGCCGGGGCCUUCUUCAAAUUGCCUUGCCUGGCGAGAGUUGCUGUAUGAGGACAAAGUCUGAUUUCAGGAAGAGUCGACCUCUCCUCUGCCUUUGACAUCUUGCUUCCCUAGAUGAAGAAAGCUCCACAGCAGGUCAGGGGAAGUAUAGGGUAGACCCAGAAUGAGAAGUUUUUUGGUUUAUUAUUAUUACUGUUUUAUUUUUUGUUGUUCAUUUGUUUUGAGACGGAGUCUCACUGUAUUGCCCAGGCUGGAGUGCAGUGGUGCGAUCUUGGCUCACUGUAAGCUCUGCCUCCCGGGUUCACGCCAUUUUCCUGCCUCAGCCUCCU